This 72-nucleotide transfer RNA is filed under the name Kaiparowitsia implicata GSE-PSE-MK54-09C. RNAcentral's name for it is "tRNA-Asn". It matches the Rfam family "tRNA". Rfam says of the family: Transfer RNA (tRNA) molecules are approximately 80 nucleotides in length. Their secondary structure includes four short double-helical elements and three loops (D, anti-codon, and T loops). Lineage: Bacteria; Bacillati; Cyanobacteriota; Cyanophyceae; Oculatellales; Oculatellaceae. RNAcentral also lists the same sequence under 8 other names. The record is from RNAcentral.
UCCUCCGUAGCUCAGUGGUAGAGCGGUCGGCUGUUAACCGAUUGGUCGCUGGUUCGAAUCCAGCCGGGGGAG